UACGUAGGGUGCUAGCGUUGUUCGGAAUCAUUGGGCGUAAAGCGCGUGUAGGCGGUUAGUUAAGUCGGGUGUGAAAUCCCUGGGCUCAACCGAGGAAGUGCAUCCGAAACUAACUAGUUAGAGAAUGGUAGAGGAAGGUGGAAUUCCUAGUGUAGAGGUGAAAUUCGUAGAUAUUAGGAGGAAUACCGGUGGCGAAGGCGGCAUCCUGGACCGACAUUGACGCUGAUGAGCGAAAGCUAGGGGAGCAAACGGG
Molecule: ribosomal RNA, 253 nt
Filed under: uncultured bacterium
Lineage: Bacteria
Description: partial 16S ribosomal RNA
Rfam family: Bacterial small subunit ribosomal RNA
Source: RNAcentral